RNAcentral lists this ribosomal RNA (497 nucleotides) under uncultured bacterium. RNAcentral's name for it is "bacterial SSU rRNA". It matches the Rfam family "Bacterial small subunit ribosomal RNA", at positions 21 to 518 of the family's 1533-position model. The record is from RNAcentral.
GGCUUAGGAUGAACGCUGGCGGCGUGCCUAACACAUGCAAGUCGAACGGAGCACUGGUAACAGAACCUUCGGGUGAAGAUAUUGUGACUGAGUGGCGGACGGGUGAGUAACGCGUGGGUAACCUGCCCUGUACAGGGGGAUAACAGUUAGAAAUGACUGCUAAUACCGCAUAAGCGCACGAUGGUAGCACUACCAGGUGUGAAAAACUCCGGUGGUACAGGAUGGGCCCGCGUCUGAUUAGCUAGUUGCGGGGUAAGAGCCCACCAAGGCGACGAUCAGUAGCCGGUCUGAGAGGAUGAACGGCCACAUUGGAACUGAGACACGGUCCAAACUCCUACGGGAGGCAGCAGUGGGGAAUAUUGCACAAUGGGGGGAACCCUGAUGCAAGCAACGCCGCGUGGGUGAAGAAGUAUUUCGGUAUGUAAAGCCCUAUCAGCAGGGAAGAUAGUGACGGUACCUGACUAAGAAGCUCCGGCUAAAUACGUGCCAGCCGCUGC